UACGUAGGUGGCAAGCGUUGUCCGGAUUUACUGGGCGUAAAGAGCGCGCAGGCGGCCGAGUAAGUCGAAUGUGAAAGCCCCCGGCUCAACUGGGGAAGGUCAUUCGAUACUGUUCGGCUUGAAGAUAGGAGAGGGAAGCGGAAUUUCAGGUGUAGUGGUGAAAUGCGUAGAUAUCUGAAGGAACACCAGUGGCGAAGGCGGCUUUCUGGCCUAUUCUUGACGCUGAGGCGCGAAAGCUAGGGGAGCGAACGGGAUUAGAAACCCCCGUAGUCC
This 273-nucleotide ribosomal RNA is filed under the name uncultured bacterium. Its description in RNAcentral is "partial 16S ribosomal RNA". It matches the Rfam family "Bacterial small subunit ribosomal RNA", at positions 524 to 796 of the family's 1533-position model. The record is from RNAcentral.